Molecule: ribosomal RNA, 481 nt
Filed under: uncultured bacterium
Lineage: Bacteria
Description: partial 16S ribosomal RNA
Rfam family: Bacterial small subunit ribosomal RNA
Source: RNAcentral
GACGAACGCUGGCGGCGUGCCUAACACAUGCAAGUCGAACGGAGAUACGAUUUCGCUUGUAUCUUAGUGGCGAACGGGUGAGUAACGCGUACGCAACCUGACCGUUAGAGUGGGAUAACACUUGGAAACAGGUGCUAAUACCGCAUAAGACCACGACCCGACCUCGGGAUGCGGUCAAAGGAGAAAUCCGCUAAAGGAGGGGCUCGCGUCCCAUUAGAUAGAUGGCGGGGUAACGGCCCACCAUGUCGACGAUCGGUAGCCGAGCUGAGAGGCUGAUCGGCCACACUGGAACUGAGACACGGUCCAGACUCCUACGGGAGGCAGCAGUGGGGAAUAUUGGGCAAUGGGCGCAAGCCUGACCCAGCAACGCCGCGUGAGGGAAGAAGGUCUUCGGAUUGUAAACCUCUGUCCUUGGUGACGAAACAGAUGACGGUAGCCAAGGAGGAAGCCCCGGCUAACUACGUGCCAGCAGCCGCAGUAA